AGAUUGAACGCUGGCGGCAUGCUUUACACAUGCAAGUCGAACGGUAACAGGCCGCAAGGUGCUGACGAGUGGCGAACGGGUGAGUAAUGCAUCGGAACGUGCCCAGUCGGUGGGGGAUAACGCAGCGAAAGCUGUGCUAAUACCGCAUACGAUCUAUGGAUGAAAGCGGGGACCGAAGGCCUCGCGCGAUUGGAGCGGCCGAUGUCAGAUUAGCUAGGUUGGUAGGGUAAGGCCCACCGAAGGCGACGAUCGUGUAGCUUGGUCUGAGAGGACGACCAGCCACACUGGAACUGAGACACGGUCCAGACUCCUACGGGAGCAGUCGAGUGGGGUAAUUUUGGAACAAGUGGGCACAAGCC
This 359-nucleotide ribosomal RNA is filed under the name uncultured soil bacterium. RNAcentral describes it as "bacterial SSU rRNA". It matches the Rfam family "Bacterial small subunit ribosomal RNA", at positions 26 to 383 of the family's 1533-position model. The record is from RNAcentral.